GAUGAACGCUGGCGGCGUGCUUAACACAUGCAAGUCGAACGGGAUCCCAGGAGCUUGCUCCUGGGUGAGAGUGGCGAACGGGUGAGUAAUGCGUGACCGACCUGCCCCAUACACCGGAAUAGCUCCUGGAAACGGGUGGUAAUGCCGGAUGCUCCAGUUGACCGCAUGGUCCUCUGGGAAAGCUUUUGCGGUAUGGGAUGGGGUCGCGUCCUAUCAGCUUGAUGGCGGGGUAACGGCCCACCAUGGCUUCGACGGGUAGCCGGCCUGAGAGGGCGACCGGCCACAUUGGGACUGAGAUACGGCCCAGACUCCUACGGGAGGCAGCAGUGGGGAAUAUUGCACAAUGGGCGCAAGCCUGAUGCAGCGACGCCGCGUGCGGGAUGACGGCCUUCGGGUUGUAAACCGCUUUUGACUGGGAGCAAGCCCUUCGGGGUGAGUGUACCUUUCGAAUAAGCACCGGCUAACU
This 466-nucleotide ribosomal RNA is filed under the name uncultured bacterium. Its description in RNAcentral is "bacterial SSU rRNA". It matches the Rfam family "Bacterial small subunit ribosomal RNA", at positions 28 to 502 of the family's 1533-position model. The record is from RNAcentral.